Molecule: transfer RNA, 77 nt
Filed under: Rubritalea profundi
Lineage: Bacteria; Pseudomonadati; Verrucomicrobiota; Verrucomicrobiia; Verrucomicrobiales; Rubritaleaceae
Also listed under: 1 other name
Description: tRNA-Asp
Rfam family: tRNA
About the family: Transfer RNA (tRNA) molecules are approximately 80 nucleotides in length. Their secondary structure includes four short double-helical elements and three loops (D, anti-codon, and T loops). Further hydrogen bonds mediate the characteristic L-shaped molecular structure. tRNAs have two regions of fundamental functional importance: the anti-codon, which is responsible for specific mRNA codon recognition, and the 3' end, to which the tRNAs corresponding amino acid is attached (by aminoacyl-tRNA synthetases). tRNAs cope with the degeneracy of the genetic code in two manners: having more than one tRNA (with a specific anti-codon) for a particular amino acid; and 'wobble' base-pairing, i.e. permitting non-standard base-pairing at the 3rd anti-codon position.
Source: RNAcentral
GGAGCGGUAGCUCAAUUGGUUAGAGCACCGCCCUGUCACGGCGGAGGUUGCGGGUUCGAUUCCCGUCCGCUCCGCCA